CCAGACUCCUACGGGAGGCAGCAGUGGGGAAUAUUGCACAAUGGGGGAAACCCUGAUGCAGCGACGCCGCGUGAGCGAUGAAGUAUUUCGGUAUGUAAAGCUCUAUCAGCAGGGAAGAAGAUGACGGUACCUGACUAAGAAGCCCCGGCUAACUACGUGCCAGCAGCCGCGGUAAUACGUAGGGGGCAAGCGUUAUCCGGAUUUACUGGGUGUAAAGGGAGCGUAGGUGGCAUGGCAAGCCAGAAGUGAAAACCCGGGGCUUAACCCCGCGGAUUGCUUUUGGAACUGUCAGGCUGGAGUGCAGGAGGGGCAGGCGGAAUUCCUGGUGUAGCGGUGAAAUGCGUAGAUAUCGGGAGGAACACCGGCGGCGAAGGCGGCCUGCUGGACCGCGACUGACGUUGAGGCUCGAAAGCGUGGGGAGCGAACAGGAUUAGAUACCCCAGUAU
This 446-nucleotide ribosomal RNA is filed under the name uncultured bacterium. Its description in RNAcentral is "bacterial SSU rRNA". It matches the Rfam family "Bacterial small subunit ribosomal RNA", at positions 331 to 793 of the family's 1533-position model. The record is from RNAcentral.